Molecule: ribosomal RNA, 852 nt
Filed under: uncultured bacterium
Lineage: Bacteria
Description: bacterial SSU rRNA
Rfam family: Bacterial small subunit ribosomal RNA
Source: RNAcentral
UGGCGUACGGGUGCGUAACACGUGUGCAACUUACCUUUAACAGGAGAAUAGCUCCGAGAAAUUGGAAUUAAUACUCCAUAACAUUAUGAAACGGCAUCGUUUUAUAAUUAAAGCUCCGGUGGUUAAAGAUGGGCACGCGAAACAUUAGCUAGUUGGAGAGGUAACGGCUCACCAAGGCAACGAUGUCUAGGGGUUCUGAGAGGAUUCACCCCCACACUGGUACUGAGACACGGACCAGACUCCUACGGGAGGCAGCAGUAAGGAAUAUUGGUCAAUGGACGCAAGUCUGAACCAGCCAUGCCGCGUGAAGGAUGACAGCCCUAUGGGUUGUAAACUUCUUUUAUACAGGAAAAAACCUUCCGACGUGUCGGGAGUUGAUGGUACUGUAAGAAUAAGGAUCGGCUAACUCCGUGCCAGCAGCCGCGGUAAUACGGAGGAUCCAAGCGUUAUCCGGAUUUAUUGGGUUUAAAGGGUGCGUAGGCGGAUUGGUAAGUCAGUGGUGAAAUCCUACAGCUUAACUGUAGAACUGCCAUUGAUACUAUCAGUCUUGAGUACAAUUGAAGUGGGCGGAAUGUGUCAUGUAGCGGUGAAACGCAUAGAGAUGACACAGAACACCGAUAGCGAAGGCAGCUCACUAAACUGUAACUGACGCUGAGGCACGAAAGCGUGGGGAUCAAACAGGAUUAGAUACCCUGGUAGUCCACGCCGUAACGAUGAUUACUCGAUGUGUGCGAUACACAGUACGCGUCUAAGGAAACCGAUAGUAAUCCACCUGGGGAGUACGAUCGCAAGAUUGAAACUCAAGGAAUUGACGGGGGCCCGCACAAGCGGAGGAGCAUGUGGUUUAAUUCG